Molecule: long non-coding RNA, 606 nt
Filed under: Dromaius novaehollandiae (emu)
Lineage: Eukaryota; Metazoa; Chordata; Aves; Casuariiformes; Dromaiidae
Description: lncRNA (ENSDNVG00000005954.1)
Source: RNAcentral
CAGGAGAGCUACAACAAGGAUGUGGUCAAAUAAUGGCUACUGUUCACAUCUCUGCAGUGCAGCCAGUUGGAGCUUCAUUCACACUUUUGGGAAACUCUGUGCUUGAAUACAGUGCCUCAUUUGCACUCCAUCAGUUAUUAUUUUGCUAAGAGAACUCUCAGACACACUUCAGAAUCAUUCUCCAGCUUCUGGAGGGGAGUACUGCAUCCAUCCCCGAGGACAUCAGUUGCGAAGAUCUACUUGAAGACAGAAAAUAUACGGCAGAUGGAGAAAUAAGUGAAGAUAGUGAACAUAUAAAUGAUAUGCCAAAGGAAUCAGAAACUGUAACAAAGUCCUGUUAUAUCGGCCCAGAUCCAGAAUGCAGGCGUGUGCUCUUCAGACUUGGUGGUCAAAGUCCCUUGGUCUCCAAUUAUCUUAAGAUGCACAAUAUAGCUAAUGCUGCAUCGUAUUCCUUGACUUGCAGGAUUAAUCGUACAGAAGUUUACAAACUACCAUAUCCUUUUUAACCCCAACCUGUAUUGUGUUUAUAAACUUUUCUUCUAAACUUUUUUUGCCAAGGUGGUUUAAACCAGCUGGGGUGGGGAGGAGAAGAAUGUGUUACUAAAG